This 448-nucleotide ribosomal RNA is filed under the name uncultured bacterium. RNAcentral describes it as "bacterial SSU rRNA". It matches the Rfam family "Bacterial small subunit ribosomal RNA", at positions 328 to 792 of the family's 1533-position model. The record is from RNAcentral.
AGGCCAGACUCCUACGGGAGGCAGCAGUGGGGAAUAUUGCGCAAUGGGCGAAACCCUGAUGCAGCAACGCCGCGUGAGUGAAGAAGUCAUUCGUGAUGUAAAGCUCUAUCAGCAGGGAAGAAAAUGACGGUACCUGAGUAAGAAGCCCCGGCUAACUACGUGCCAGCAGCCGCGGUAAUACGUAGGGGGCAAGCGUUAUCCGGAUUUACUGGGUGUAAAGGGGGCGCAGACGGCCAUGGCAAGCCCGGUGUGAAAGGCAGGGGCAUAACCCCUGGACUGCACUGGGAACUGUCAGGCUGGAGUGCCGGAGGGGUAAGCGGAAUUCCCAGUGUAGCGGUGAAAUGCGUAGAUAUUAGGAGGAACACCAGUGGCGAAGGCGGCUUACUGGACUGUAACUGACGUUGAGGCUCGAAAGCGUGGGGAGCAAACAGGAUUAGAUACCCGUGUA